RNAcentral lists this long non-coding RNA (185 nucleotides) under Fukomys damarensis (Damara mole-rat). Its description in RNAcentral is "lncRNA (ENSFDAG00000031697.1)". Lineage: Eukaryota; Metazoa; Chordata; Mammalia; Rodentia; Bathyergidae. The record is from RNAcentral.
AGAAACUGGAAUAGUGAGAGAGGGAGACAAUAGACACACGGGCAUCUGGGUCUGCACAGGUCUCCUGGAUCCAACAGAUUGAGGAGGAGGGAGAAGAAGAGAUUGCAAAAGGAGAAGAGAUGAGGACUAGAAAAGAAGGGAAGAAGAGAAUAGAACAAACUUGCCCUGAAGGGAAAGAGGUAAAA